Long non-coding RNA from Dromaius novaehollandiae (emu), 3924 nucleotides. RefSeq lists it as uncharacterized. Lineage: Eukaryota; Metazoa; Chordata; Aves; Casuariiformes; Dromaiidae. The record is from RefSeq and is a predicted model, not a curated record. The transcript is spliced from 3 exons.
GCGCUUGUUUCCAUGACGUCGGUGGGCAGGGCCGCGGCGUUUGAUGGAGCCCGGCGGGCUUCGGGGGCGCGGCCACUGCACAGCAUUAUUACAGCCCCAGACCAGAUAAAAGAGUACAAAGAUACUUCGUGAACAAUGGCGCAAAGUCUACAUUCAAAGAAAAAAAUAGCAAAGCAUAAAAUCCUGGAAUUGACAGAGAAUCUGACCCUAUAAAGGACUUGGAUCAGGCAUGAGAGAGACGAGAAAAAGAGAGCAGGGUAUCAAAAAGGAGAAAGGGAUAGACCACAUGAAACCUCCAGCACUCAUACAAUGCACAAAGAAAUGAGAUGAAAUCUUCCUGACGUCUUUCUAUCUCCAUCCCUGGGACAAGGGAGAAGAGGAGUGUGUCCCUUUCAUCAACAAACAGCAGGGGGGAGAAGGAAGACAGCAAAUAAAGGGCGUAGAUGUUUUGGCCAUCUUAAUGGCAACCAGAAGAUGGGAAGAAAAACAAAUUACUCCAUGACUGACAUCCUGGGAAAAGAAUAGUCUCAUGCUUUAACAAUUCAGACAUCAAAAUCACGUGCUGGACUAUGAAAACAUGGCGCAUUUGUGUUGUGACACUACAUGAUGUGGUGGCUUUAAACAAAACUACAACAAUUUCUGCUAACUGAAGUUUGACUGAUCAGUGGUGAAUGCAAUUUUGUGCAUUUGAUGCAUCAAGCACUUUAAAAUCAGUGGUAUAGCCCUGUCUUUGGUUAUAGGCUUUGAUUAAGAAGGAAACCUAAGGUACCGGAACAUCCUGCUAAUGUUGUGGACUGUUUGGAAAUUGCCAGAAUAUGUAUAUCCAGCUCCUGAUCCUUAGGUGCUACCAUAGUGUAAGUACUAAAUAAUGACAUAAGAAAUGGCUUUAUUGUAUGUCAAUGCACAGAACUUACUUUCUGUGUCUCCUGAGCUGGUAGAAAUGUGAAAGCAGCCCAGGCAGUCAGCUGCCAUCACUGGUGAGCUACCACUGGGGUUCAGGUGUGCUCUGUGCAGAUCAAAUUGCAAGGCCUGGGCUUGCCACGAGACGCUGUCAAAAUAAGGAAAUAUGUGCUCAGAGAGGUAUGGAAUAAAACAGUUCUCAAGGAGGAGGCAGAAGGUUUUCUUUUUCUCUCGCAUUUGCCAAGUGCAUUUACACAUGGAGUUCUUGGCCGCCACUUGUGCAGACUUCCCUCGGAAAUAUUUUCCAUCUGUUAUACUCACAUGAAAAAAAAAAAAAAUCCCACCCCUGGAGAUUCUACCCCCAUCCCUAAAAUGGAGCCUCUUUUUGUCUCUGACAGCUUUCAGCAAGACCUUUAUUAAAGGGGGGGAAGGCAGACAAGGUGCUUUCUACCAUUUCAUACCAAGAGCUCCAGCCAGCAGGAUCACAAAUGCCCAGAAAAGCAAGGAGAAACAGAUUCUGUUUCACCUUGACUCCUUGUUUCAUCCUCCAGCAAUCCUCCUUUUAUCUGCGGCUCUCUAAGCUCCAUCAGCUGCUCCAUCCAGGCCUACUAAGAAUUAAGAGUCUCCUUAUCUGUGGAGGACAGUCAAAUAAAGUACAGCCAGAAAUUCUUGACACAGCCUUCUAUACUUAGAAGUGUGUGUAAAAUGCCAGUCAUCUUCUUCACACAAGUACCAGAAAAUUUUCUUUUUUAACAUGUUUCCCAACAAUAUUAUCUCUUUUAAUAAUAUUAUCUUUUUUAAUAUGUUUCCUAAUAAUAACCGCAGUAAAAUGACUGAAAAAGAAAAUCACUGAAAAAAUACACUGGGAGUUUCAGCAUUGUAAGCCUGAUCAGUAACCACAUAGGGGAAGUACGUGGUCUGUUAUGUCUGGUUUCUUCAAAAGAUUAAUUAUUUUGGAAAUAAACUGCUCACUUAUCCAACACUUGUGAUUUGCAGAAGACAAACUUUGUGACAACACUUAGCGAUUGAUGGAAGACCUGUUCUAAAUGCAUUGAAAGUUAGGGCAUUAGAUGGCAAGAGAGACAACUGGUAUUAGGGUAACUACAUAUUUUGAACAAGUAGGAUCUUUCUUUAAUAGAAUAUUCUUAGUCUAAAUUUCUGCUUCACAUGCCAUGUGAAAGGCAGCUGUAGCUCCAGAACAACUGAAUAGCAAGACCUAUUUAAAAGAUUGGCCUGCUGUUCCUAUCACCGAUAGAGAAAAUCUGAAAGUUCUGUUGUAUUUUAGUUAUAUUUCAGCAUUAUGGACGUUUGAAAAUUAUGAAUAAGAAUAUUGGAACUAAGUCGAGUUCUUGUUUCUCAGAAGGGUUUUUUGGUUUUCCCCAUGUACCCCCCCUCCCCAGCUCUACACAAGCCGUCUCCAUUAUCCCUCAAGGCACUGUAAGCAAUGGGUUAACGUGUUUUCCGUGCAGACACAUUGGACUGCAGCAUAUUAACUGGGCUUCAGCUCUCCUGCGUGACACCACACAGUGCACCAGGCUGUGGCUGGGCUGACAAGGCUUUACUGUGACUCAUUAUAAUAGGAGGCACAAUCAGCUGGUGUAGUGAAAAAAAUAUAGGUUUAUCAAGGAUAAAGAAAACAAGUUAUUCAGGAGGAAAUGAUCCAUAACUGCUCAUUAUUAAAGCCUUUGAAAUUACUUGUAUAAGAAAAAAGGAAUUACAUAAUAAAUUUAACUCCCUGGUGUGUUCUCAUAAGCACUAGUGAGCCAAGCUAUCCUGGGAGCCAAAACACACGCAAAUUCUGAACCUGCUUUUCAGCAGGCCUCUUGUAGGUGUUUUUACAGCAUUUAAUAUAAUUAUUGAUUCAUUCCAUAUUGGAAGAAAAUGAAGGUGGCAACCACAUGAAAAUUUCAUUUCUUUUGAGAAGAAAAGACAGAAGAAAGAGUAUGAAUUGAAAAAUCACAUUCGAAAUUUCUCCCCUCACAAGUAAAAAAAAAAUGAAUACGAAUCUAAUGAUAUCAUUGUUAAUAGAAAACAUAUGGAUGUGAGAAAGUACUUUCAGCUUACCUGAAUCACUCCUGUUGCAGAUCUGAUCGUGGUGUUUUUCUCCACAUCCCUUUUUAAAAGUUUUUAGGCAAUAGUUGCUGUCAUCCGACAUACAUGUUUCACUGCAGAGGCAGCUGCAAUCCAGCUUUGGCUAAAGGAUUCAUAGUUUGCAGGGACAAGAGGGAAAAGAGUAGCAAAAAAUGGCAAAAAGGGAAGAUAAAUCUUGUAGUGGCCUCUGAUCUCCAUGGUCUGCUGCCUACCAGCAGUGACCCCAAGCAGAGCACAGAUGCACAUACAUGGGUCUAUAUAGUCAGUCUCUCCCUUCUACCCUGCAGCCGGCUUUGCCUUGCCAGCUGUUCUAAUACCGCAGGAAGGUAUUCCUUAUUGCUAGGCCUGCAGGAAGGAGGAGGAUGAGGGAAGGAGGAAGAUGCUGUUGAUGAGGUGUAGGGCCGAAGGGGUGCUGCUAGAUGCUCCCCAAGCUUCACUACAAUGACUGUCUUACUGUGCCCACCUCACUUCCAGGGAGACUGUUGGCCGCACCCAAAUGGGGGCAAUUACACGGGAUAUGUUGCCCUGUGUGUGUGACUGAUGGACAAAUUGCCAUGGUGCUCACCUAUAUAUUACAUUACAUGCACAGCAACUGAGAAUCCUGCUGAGCUCUCAAGAAUUUAAUGACGCAGAGCAGGCAGAGACACAGGAACUCAUGUAUAUGUGUGCACAUACUUCAAGAUGUAAAAGACUGAUGCCAUCUUGCUCUGGGUGCCAAAACAUCUUAUUAAGGUCACGAUGCUGAGGUUACAUCAUGUUUCUAUUCUAAUAUGCUUCUUUUAAUGGCUAAUAGCAUUCUGAAACUUUUCUCUUUUCCAGACCUGAUUUCUGUCCAAAUGUGAUUUUAUUUGGAAAGUUUGAACUAAAAUGUUUCUGAUUUUUCUUAUUUACUUUGAAUUUGAGGACUAUUGGAAAAUAAAGUUGUGUUUAAGU